UGACCCAGGAUCCUGGACUGAAAAAACAGGAAGAGACCUUGGGUUUUCCUUUUCCAGUUUUUUCCUCAACAGUGUAUAGGGGAUUCCUGUGGUGUCUACAUGCUGAUGUAUGCUCUCAGCACCUGUACGUCAUGUCCAUUAACAUUCACA
This is a long non-coding RNA of Myxocyprinus asiaticus (Chinese sucker), 150 nucleotides long. RefSeq lists it as uncharacterized. The transcript is spliced from 3 exons. The record is from RefSeq and is a predicted model, not a curated record. Lineage: Eukaryota; Metazoa; Chordata; Actinopteri; Cypriniformes; Catostomidae.